RNAcentral lists this ribosomal RNA (472 nucleotides) under uncultured bacterium. Its description in RNAcentral is "partial 16S ribosomal RNA". It matches the Rfam family "Bacterial small subunit ribosomal RNA", at positions 28 to 507 of the family's 1533-position model. The record is from RNAcentral.
GACGAACGCUGGCGGCGUGCUUAACACAUGCAAGUCGAACGCUGAAGCUUGGUGCUUGCACUGGGUGGAUGAGUGGCGGACGGGUGAGUAAUACGUGAGUAACCUGCCCUUGACUCUGGGAUAAGCCUGGGAAACUGGGUCUAAUACUGGAUACGACAUGUCACCGCAUGGUGGUGUGUGGAAAGGGUUUUACUGGUUUUGGAUGGGCUCACGGCCUAUCAGCUUGUUGGUGGGGUAAUGGCUCACCAAGGCGACGACGGGUAGCCGGCCUGAGAGGGUGACCGGCCACACUGGGACUGAGACACGGCCCAGACUCCUACGGGAGGCAGCAGUGGGGAAUAUUGCACAAUGGGCGGAAGCCUGAUGCAGCGACGCCGCGUGAGGGAUGACGGCCUUCGGGUUGUAAACCUCUUUCAGCACGGAAGAAGCGAAAGUGACGGUACGUGCAGAAGAAGCGCCGGCUAACUACGUG